This is a long non-coding RNA of Pyrgilauda ruficollis (rufous-necked snowfinch), 3253 nucleotides long. RefSeq lists it as uncharacterized. Lineage: Eukaryota; Metazoa; Chordata; Aves; Passeriformes; Passeridae. The transcript is spliced from 3 exons. The record is from RefSeq and is a predicted model, not a curated record.
GAGCCUGUGUGAGAAGAUGUGCAAGUGAAUCACUGAAAAAGAGAAAGAGGCAGUGCUCUGACAGCAAGUUAACCUAAGUGAGAGAAGGGCUGCCAUGGGUUCUGCCUGACCAGUUAACAGUGUGCAAGGCUGCACUGGAGUUUGUGACACCUGAAAGGAGGAAAGUCGGGGAGAACAUAAAUCUCGAUGCCCUGUUUUCCUUUUGUCAGUUCAGCACUGCAGGCUGCCCUGGUUCCAGAUGUCUGUCUGGGUUCACAUAGUAGCAUAUUCCCAUGGCUAUGGUGGUAAUGUCAUAUGCGUCACAGGAAGGGACCCUCAAGCUCCAGACUGGUAUAGCUGAUCCCCAGGAGAGGCUGCAGCUAUUCUUGGCUCUAUCUGAGUGGGCAGCAGUUACUCCAACAAGCUCUGCCACCUACUUGUAGCUAAUAGCUAUAGAGAGCCAAGAUGAGCUAUAGCAAUCCUGCAUAGGAAUGAAAUUUGUCCUUAAAAUAAACUUCUAGCAUUAGUAGUGGGAAGAGAAAGAAGGUGCUUUCCUCCUUCAGAGAAGACUGGUUUCUUUGAUGCAGCAACUGGAAAAAAAUGAGAAAAUGAAAAGUAGGGUAUUUCCUAUCUGAGAAAUAUAUGGAAAAGGUUAAUUCUCUUCAGUCUUUCUUGGCUCCACUGUUGAAGAGGAUGUGCGUGGUAGGGGCAGAGGGAUUAGUUUCCACAUUAAUUUUGUUUUGGCUCCACAGAAGAGGUUCAGAGCCAGUGUGAAAAUGCAGUUUCUUCUGGAUACAAGGAGCUCAGAGCCUCUGAGUAUUUAUUUUGCAUCUGACAUGACAGCUUGGGAAUUGUGCCAGAGGGAGGGGGCUGAAGCAUCAGCUUGGAUUCAGUGCUGGAGGGCAAGGACCUGCCAGGAGAAGAAAAUACCACCUUCAGCACCAAAUCAGUACUACCUAGAGGCUACAAUGUAGGGAAGAAGGGUCUUCCUGAGUCUCUAUCUAAAAAAAACAGGAGCAGGCCCAAAUUAAAAAACUGUGGUUGGAACUGUCAGGCUACCAUUGGCCUAGAGUCAAGCAGUCAGCCUAUCUGUACCCAAAGCCAAAAUGUGCCAAUUCCAGAAUAAGCAGAAAGCACAUAAUGUGUUGGGCUAUUUAGGCAGUACUCAUCUUUGUAGAUAAUUUUAGGCUCAUUAAUUUUAGGCUCAUCAAUUUAUGCUAUGAUUCAUGCUUACUCAUGUCACGGUUAGCCUGGGGAAGGGCUUCUGUGAUUGCUGUCAGCUGCGUGUCCUCCCGCUCCCACUCACUCGUGACUCUUGGCCAAUUUUAGUCACAUCUGACAAAGAGCUGAAGGGCUUUAACACCCCAGGUUCCUACAGCAUGUCUCCCUGGGAUGUGACCCAAGGGCUGGCUGCAGCUUUUGGAGCUUUGGUCUACCAGCAGGUGCAAGGAAGCACAGGCUGUCAGGCCUGCCUGGCAGGCACAAAGCAGCAGCUAGCUGGGCAAUCUGCGUUCGUGCAGCCUUGGGCUCUUGCGUGCUCCCUCGCAGUAGGUGUUGUCUCACGUGCAGUUCAUGGCAAACUACAGUAGCUGAGGGAAGGAGGGAAGUUGAGGGGAAAUGUUAAUGUGGUGGCUACAGAAUCAGAAAGGAACAAUACAAUUCAAAACCCUGUAAAAACAGGUGUGUUGAAUUGUGCUGCUCACCUGUUUCCUAACUCCUCACUUCGUAUUGCUGUACUUCUCAAAAGUUUCUUGGACACCACUGUUUCCUCUGCCUCUUUCAGUAGCAAGUUCCACGUUUGUUAUACUAUAAUAUGCAAGUCUUGUGUCAUCUCUGAUCUGCUACCUUUCAAAGUACCCUCUUCAGUCAUGUGCAAAUGUGGAACUCAGUGAACAGCAAGAAUACCUACCUCCUUUCUGACAGACUGACUCGAGCUGCUGGACAGAAGUACAAAACAGACAUUCACAGUCAGGAGAUUUCUGCUCUGGAGAACUUACUCACUCUACUCCACAUUUCUACUAAAUACAAACAACUGGGGUUGCAGUAAAGCAGAGGACUACUUAAUAUCAGACAGUCAAUACAGGUGUGUGCCAUCUUUUCACCUUCUGUGACAUUCUUUACACAAGUCCUAGGUACAACAUGAGCUAAUAUCUUCACAAGCAGUGGUUUCACGCACAAGGCAACCCCAAUCUCCCAUCCGGUCUCUCUAGUGCCACUCAUAUGGACACAAACUGGCCUGGAUCUUUUUCAUACCUGGAGUAAAAAUGCCUAUUAUGGUUCAGCCACUGGGAUUGCAAAUCCUGACUGAGAGGAUCUGCAUGUUCUUAAGAAAUUCCAUCAAUUGGAUAUCAUGGAAACCCAGAUGAGGAACACUUUGCUACAAGGCAGAUCAUGCGGUGACUGAAGCACUACAGCCAUUUGCUGUCAAAGGACAAGCUUUCAGUUUCUUGAACUUUGUCUCUAAAAGUUUCCAGCAUUUGCUAGUGACAGUAGCAGGACCAUGUGUAGGAGUGUUGAUCAACAAGUAGCAGGCAACUAGGUCUGAAUGUAAUAGAGACAAGUAACUCUUAAUUUCUCCUUUGAAUGACUGCUCCCAGCACAUAGUUCUUCAGCUUGAAUUUGUAUAAAUGACAUACAAGUCUUUCCUCCAAAUACUGCUGGUACUUGCUGCAGCUUUACACGCUGGUUUGUGGGGAAGGGGAUGAUGACACACCAUAAACUUUUCAUAAAGUUUCUCUGACUAAAAGAUAAUGCAAUGAGGAACUCUCAUUUUCUUUGAUUUAGGACCAGACCUCUGAGAAGCAAGUCUGUCAAGAAUAGGACUAUGCCUUGCCUUGCUGGGUGGUGAAAACCUUUAGGGAUUAUCUAAUUUGUUAAUGCCUCUGAAUGUACUGGAAGCAUCUAACAACCUGGGUACAUGUGAUAGCUUGUUUAUAUAUGUUCACCUACACAGAUGAACCCUCUGCCCCAAACUAUUUACACAGAACAAAAAGAAAUGCCUGGAGCAUGACAACUGGAAAAGAGCCAAAGAGUAGCAGCAGUGCCACCUUCCACCUUCUAAGUGGAUCACUAGAGACAUUUUUCUAACUAAUCAAAGGGCCCACCUUUCUUGCCGGAGUUUGAAAUACUGAUGUCGUAAAUCAUUCUAGAAGUACUUUAAACAGUAACUAAUGAACAGUAUGCAAUAAUAGCUUAAAAUGAAUAUGCCACCUUUUCUUCCCUAAGAGAAAGAAAGUCUUAGAAAUGCAUUUAAUAAUGCAAUAUAAAAAGGAAU